UCUUCCUGGCAAUUGGCAUAGAGAUACCUUGGUGGUGGUGGUGUUCUUAGUCAGGGGCAGAACAAAUGGCAGUUCUUUGUUAAUCCUAGCUUGGUGCCUGGCUUGGUGGCCAAAGGCAAUUUAUGCCUAGGACAUAAAA
This is a small nucleolar RNA of Mastomys coucha (southern multimammate mouse), 139 nucleotides long. RefSeq annotates it as small nucleolar RNA SNORA48. NCBI's taxonomy places the organism in Eukaryota, Metazoa, Chordata, Mammalia, Rodentia, Muridae. The transcript has a single exon. The record is from RefSeq and is a predicted model, not a curated record.